This 228-nucleotide long non-coding RNA is filed under the name Mytilus galloprovincialis (Mediterranean mussel). The record is from RNAcentral. Lineage: Eukaryota; Metazoa; Mollusca; Bivalvia; Mytilida; Mytilidae.
GUUCUCCUAUUUAUUCAUAUUGUAGUCCUGUAAUGUUGUGUUGUCGUUUUAAUGUAACAUUUCACAUGGCCAUAAAAGAGGGAGGUUUGGCAUGCCACAAAACCAGGUUCAACCCACCAUUUUUUCCUUUAAAAAUGUCCUGUACCAAGUCAGGAAUAUGACCAUUGUUAUAUUAUAGUUCGUUUCUGUGUGUGUUACAUUUUAACGUUGUGUUUCCGUUGUGUCGUU